GAUUAAAUUAAUAAGGGCGUACGGUGGAUGCCUUGGCAUUAAGAGCUGAAGAAGGACGCAACGAACGGCGAAACGCUCCGGGGAGUGGUAAGUACGCAACGAUCCGGAGGUAU
RNAcentral lists this ribosomal RNA (113 nucleotides) under uncultured Bacillota bacterium. Its description in RNAcentral is "uncultured Firmicutes bacterium partial 23S ribosomal RNA". It matches the Rfam family "Bacterial large subunit ribosomal RNA", at positions 1 to 113 of the family's 2925-position model. The record is from RNAcentral. Lineage: Bacteria; Bacillati; Bacillota.